CCUACGGGCGGCUGCAGUGGGGAAUAUUGCGCAAUGGGCGCAAGCCUGACGCAGCAACGCCGCGUGAAGGAAGAAGGCUUUCGGGUUGUAAACUUCUUUUAUCAGGGACGAAGCAAGUGACGGUACCUGAUGAAUAAGCCACGGCUAACUACGUGCCAGCAGCCGCGGUAAUACGUAGGUGGCAAGCGUUAUCCGGAUUUACUGUGUGUAAAGGGCGUGUAGGCGGGAAAGCAAGUCAGAUGUGAAAACCAUGGGCUCAACCUGUGGCCUGCAUUUGAAACUGUUUUUCUUGAGUACUGGAGAGGGAGACGGAAUUCCUAGUGUAGCGGUGAAAUGCGUAGAGAUGAGGAGGAACACCAGUGGCGAAGGCGGUCUGCUGGAAAGCAACUGACGCUGAGGUGCGAAAGCGUGGGGAGCAAACAGGAUUAGAUACCCGGGUAGUC
This 443-nucleotide ribosomal RNA is filed under the name uncultured bacterium. RNAcentral's name for it is "partial 16S ribosomal RNA". It matches the Rfam family "Bacterial small subunit ribosomal RNA", at positions 338 to 795 of the family's 1533-position model. The record is from RNAcentral.